Cervus elaphus (red deer) is the source of this 1054-nucleotide long non-coding RNA. RefSeq lists it as uncharacterized. Lineage: Eukaryota; Metazoa; Chordata; Mammalia; Artiodactyla; Cervidae. The record is from RefSeq and is a predicted model, not a curated record. The transcript has 4 exons.
GCGAAUCCUCUUUGGUUCAAUUGCAGAAGCAACACACUGUUUACUUGAUUAGCAUCUCUCUCAACCUUCACUUAUGGUGGGUCCCCUGGAAUCCAGUGUACAUGGACACACAAACACUAUGUGUGAAUUGGGAGGUAAGGAGGCUCUGACCCAGGAAGAAGGAAUGGUUUGCCCAUGAUUGCCCAACUAGUUGGAAUCAGAAACCAGCUUUUGAUCCAGGUCUGAAAUAUUAAUCAUGACUCUCUGAAUGGUAAAGAAACAAUAGAAUUGUCAUAAAAGUGAAGAAGAUGAGAAUGAGAAUUUGAGAAUGUGGAGCUUAUUUUUUUAAAUAAAUUAACAAUGGACUAAAAGUAAUCAAUUUCUCAGAGAAUUUGAGAAUGGAGGAAUCAGAUGGAACUUCUAUUGGAAGAAUUCUUUUCCAACUCUCAUUCCUGAAAGAUUACAAAACAAUGAGAGAAAUGAUACACAGAUUUUAAAAAGACAAGAGAACUUUUGUCUUCAAUGUCACUAGAGACAGCAUCACAUGAUUCUGUUCAAAACUCUUCUUCAAGAUGACAUGUUAACCUUCUCUCCAGGUUUUACUCAUUCCCACUUUUCCACCCAGUUCCCUUAUUUUGGUAAGAAAUACUUGCCAGAGUACCUUCCAUCCCACCGGUCUUAUGUUUAUCUUUGGGUAAAUGAAAUGUUAUCAAGGCAAGUAAAGUUUUAAAUUGCUACACUGACAACCGGUAGAAAUUCCAGUUGAUGACUAAGAAGUUGAAAUCUUUCAUAUCCUCAUAUUUUGACUGUACUUUGCCAUCUUGCCUCUGUAAGCUUUGUAAAGUCAUCAGAGAUGUACCAUUUCAUUGCAUCUCUUUGGCUACAAAAAGUGAUGCCACACUCUCACACUCAUAUCUUUCUUUUUAUUCUCUCUUCUUAAUAGUCUCUCCAAUUCUACUACCAAGAUUGUUAAUAGAAACUCAAAUUACUAUCCUCAAUUGAAACUCCAACACUUUGGCCACCUAAUGCAAAGAGCUGACUCAUUUGAAAAGACCCUGAUGCUGGGAAAGAUUGA